Molecule: ribosomal RNA, 495 nt
Filed under: uncultured bacterium
Lineage: Bacteria
Description: partial 16S ribosomal RNA
Rfam family: Bacterial small subunit ribosomal RNA
Source: RNAcentral
UGAACGCUGGCGGCGUGCCUAAUACAUGCAAGUCGAGCGAACAGACGAGGAGCUUGCUCCUCUGACGUUAGCGGCGGACGGGUGAGUAACACGUGGAUAACCUACCUAUAAGACUGGGAUAACUUCGGGAAACCGGAGCUAAUACCGGAUAAUAUAUUGAACCGCAUGGUUCAAUAGUGAAAGACGGUUUUGCUGUCACUUAUAGAUGGAUCCGCGCCGCAUUAGCUAGUUGGUAAGGUAACGGCUUACCAAGGCAACGAUGCGUAGCCGACCUGAGAGGGUGAUCGGCCACACUGGAACUGAGACACGGUCCAGACUCCUACGGGAGGCAGCAGUAGGGAAUCUUCCGCAAUGGGCGAAAGCCUGACGGAGCAACGCCGCGUGAGUGAUGAAGGUCUUCGGAUCGUAAAACUCUGUUAUUAGGGAAGAACAAAUGUGUAAGUAACUAUGCACGUCUUGACGGUACCUAAUCAGAAAGCCACGGCUACCUACGUG